This 404-nucleotide long non-coding RNA is filed under the name Gallus gallus (chicken). RNAcentral's name for it is "long non-coding RNA NONGGAT006852". The record is from RNAcentral. Lineage: Eukaryota; Metazoa; Chordata; Aves; Galliformes; Phasianidae.
AGGAAACCCCGACUCCCGGGCAGUCUCUGUGGCAGGAGUUCCCCACAGCUGUGAACUCUUCAAGUCCAUUUGCUGCUGCAGCUCCUCUGGUAGCGAAGAAGGAAAAUCGCUGGAAUGGUUUCACAAAAGCAUCUUGCGGUAGCCAACACCCUUGGCUGUGUGAAUUUUGGCUGAGAUGGUGAGGAGUGUUGCCACCCAAGUAUGAUUCCACCGCCAACUCCAUCGAUGUUUCACACUGAGAAUGGUGGGGCUAAAAUGAAUGGAAACAAAUAAAGCACAACACAGGAACAGUGAGGAAGUAGAUGAAACCUGGUCAUGAGGAUAUGAAUUAUUAUUGAACUCAGCAAAAGUAUAUGCAAGUGAAUGUUUGGAGUAUGGAAAUAAUUCAAGGAACAUAAAUUGAU